GAUGAAGAACGCAGCGAAAUGCGAUAAGUAAUGUGAAUUGCAGAAUUCAGUGAAUCAUCGAAUCUUUGAACGCACCUUGCACCCUUUGGCAUUCCGAAGGGUAUGCUCGUUUGAGUGUCAUUGUACUCUCACACUUCCGAUCUUUGGACUGGGAGCGGUGGACUUGGGUGUUGCUGCUUACUGUGGCUCACCUCAAAUCGAUUCGUGCACCUCUUGGUUGGACAUAGUACGGCGUGAUAAGUGUCUUCGCCGGCACCUCAGUAGAGGGUGGCUGAUCGGGAGCUCUGCUUCAAACCGUCCUCGGACAACAACUGACAACUUGACCUCAAAUCGAGUAGGACUACCCGCUGAACUUAAGCAUAUCAAUAAGCGGAGGA
This 377-nucleotide unclassified non-coding RNA is filed under the name soil metagenome. RNAcentral's name for it is "partial contains 5.8S ribosomal RNA, internal transcribed spacer 2, and large subunit ribosomal RNA". The stretch from base 1 to 120 matches the Rfam family "5.8S ribosomal RNA", at positions 35 to 154 of the family's 154-position model. The record is from RNAcentral.